CGCGUAGGCGGGAUGGCAAGUCGGUCGUGAAAUCCCUCGGCUCAACCGAGGAGCGUCGGCCGAUACUGCCGUUCUUGAGGGAUGCAGAGGAGACUGGAAUUCCCGGUGUAGCGGUGAAAUGUGUAGAGAUCGGGAGGAACACCGGUGGCGAAGGCGGGUCUCUGGGCAUCUCCUGACGCUGAGGCGCGAAAGCGUGGGAGCAAAC
RNAcentral lists this ribosomal RNA (205 nucleotides) under uncultured bacterium. RNAcentral describes it as "partial 16S ribosomal RNA". It matches the Rfam family "Bacterial small subunit ribosomal RNA", at positions 568 to 773 of the family's 1533-position model. The record is from RNAcentral.